UGCCCGGGGGGCAGCAGUGGGGAAUAUUGCACAAUGGGGGGAACCCUGAUGCAGCGACGCCGCGUGGGUGAAGAAGCGCCUCGGCGCGUAAAGCCCUGUCAGCAGGGAAGAAAAUGACGGUACCUGACUAAGAAGCCCCGGCUAACUACGUGCCAGCAGCCGCGGUAAUACGUAGGGGGCAAGCGUUAUCCGGAUUUACUGGGUGUAAAGGGAGCGUAGACGGCGAUGCAAGCCAGAUGUGAAAGCCCGGGGCUCAACCCCGGGACUGCAUUUGGAACUGUAUAGCUGGAGUGUCGGAGAGGCAG
This 305-nucleotide ribosomal RNA is filed under the name uncultured bacterium. Its description in RNAcentral is "bacterial SSU rRNA". It matches the Rfam family "Bacterial small subunit ribosomal RNA", at positions 338 to 660 of the family's 1533-position model. The record is from RNAcentral.